Molecule: ribosomal RNA, 482 nt
Filed under: uncultured bacterium
Lineage: Bacteria
Description: partial 16S ribosomal RNA
Rfam family: Bacterial small subunit ribosomal RNA
Source: RNAcentral
AUUGAACGCUGGCGGCAUGCCUUACACAUGCAAGUCGAACGGUAACGGGCCUUCGGGUGCCGACGAGUGGCGAACGGGUGAGUAAUACAUCGGAACGUGCCCGAUCGUGGGGGAUAACGAGGCGAAAGCUUUGCUAAUACCGCAUACGAUCUACGGAUGAAAGCAGGGGACCGCAAGGCCUUGCGCGGACGGAGCGGCCGAUGGCAGAUUAGGUAGUUGGUGGGAUAAAAGCUUACCAAGCCGACGAUCUGUAGCUGGUCUGAGAGGAUGAUCAGCCACACUGGGACUGAGACACGGCCCAGACUCCUACGGGAGGCAGCAGUGGGGAAUUUUGGACAAUGGGCGCAAGCCUGACCCAGCCAUGCCGCGUGCAGGAUGAAGGCCUUCGGGUUGUAAACUGCUUUUGUACGGAACGAAAAGCCUUCUUUUAAUACAGGAGGGUCAUGACGGUACCGUAAGAAUAAGCACCGGCUAACUACGUG